Molecule: non-coding RNA, 68 nt
Organism: Salmo salar (Atlantic salmon)
Lineage: Eukaryota; Metazoa; Chordata; Actinopteri; Salmoniformes; Salmonidae
Source: Rfam
CCCUGUAGCUCAGUUGGUAGAGCAUGGUGUUUGCAACGCCAGGGUUGUGGGUUCAAUUCCCACAGGGG